UUUGGCAACGUUUGAAGGUUCAUAAGGCGUUUUUCCUUAACAUGGCAGAGAAUUAGACAGGUUUUUUUUUUUUUGGCGACAUCCUCCAUUACUUACGAUCGAAGACCGGCCGGUGGACGUUCUGCGACGGAAUUUUCCUGGCGCCUCCCGCUGUGUAACCAGUGGCGUGGCGCGAGUGAUCGACUAUCGAUAUUCUCCCAUUUGAAGCUGGGGUAAAGAAUCGAUUAAGUUGCUCGUUGCGAGCACCCUGAAUAUCGAUCCUUUUCCGUGGGUUUAAAUGGCAGAUAAAUCGAUGAAUCGCAAAGCACCCCACGCCACUGUGUGUAACGCAAUGCAGCGCGCUCGGAAUUAAGUAGAUGAUGACGAGAAUAAAAUAAAAUACAUUCAUGAAAUAUAAGAGCGAUCCACGAGCGAACGAAAGCCGAGUUCGCGCCAGAUACCCUUUCGGUCUGAUUCUGCUCAGGUGUGUUUUGUGAUAAAUUUCACGCGAAUCGAAAUGAAGUUAAGUUUCACGGUUGUCCUGGUCGCCCUGGUGGUUGCGGUAACGGUCACCAACGCAUCUCCAUGGGGCUUUCACAAAACCAAGAACAAAGAGGCAACAGUGAACAGGGGGAUCACAACAUAGACACACAUGUACAUACACAUGAACACAAAGGCCACGAUGAACACAGAGGCCACGAUGGACACAGAGGCCACGAUGGACACAAAGGCCCCGAUGGACACACAGGCCACGGCGAUCAUAGAGGUCACGAUGAACACAGAGGCCACAAUGAACACAAAGGCCUCGAUGAACACAGAGGCCACGACGAUGAACACAGAGGCCACGAUGAACACAAAGGCUACGAUAAACACAAAGGCCCCGAUGGACACAGAGGCCACGGUGGACACAAAGGCCACAAAAAAUGAAUGUCAGCACUCUCAUCUGAAAUUUAAUUUAUUACAGUUUAAACAGAUUCCUCUUCUCGUACCAGAGUUUCAUACCAGACAUUAGUAGCAAGAUUAUGAGCUGACGCUUAACAAGUCCAGAUAAGACAUUUCGUUGAAGAUAAAAAUGAGAAAAUCAAUCGGUUAUUCUGUAUUUAAAGUUAUAGAGUAAGUUUAUGUAAUACAUGUUUUCUCCUCUCUAAUGUACCUCAUUACAUUUCGAUUGAAUUUCUUUGAUCAUCUUUCACGAAAAAUAAAAAUCGAUGCAAAAGUUUCCUGACCGUUGAACUUGAGAAUGAGCAAACCCUUCAUUUUUUUGAUGAAUUUCCUUCAUUCCCAACUUCGUCAGAUUUACAUUCCGUGCGACGCACAGUGGAUCAAGUCAAUCAGAGACGUUGGACAUUAAAUUUUGAUUAAAACUGCAUAUUCUGAUGUUAAUUUCAUCACAUUUUCAAUUUCAAGGGGUAGGUUCAGAAGACAAUUUAACGAGGAAACCAAUGGAACCACUUUUAGAACCUCAAAGUUGUGUAUGAACGGAGUUAUAAGCUUCUGAAAAUUCUAAAUUUUGUCCGGCCUAUCCCAUUGACUCGAUUCACUGUGCGACGGAGGAGUCAGGAGGUCUGAAACUACACCUCUCCAAAAAUGUAUUUUCGAUUCCUGACAAGUGAACUGCAUUUUGCAAAAAGGAACCAAGAUCAUUCAAAUGUUGCUAGGAUUGUGCAACAUACAAGCUUUGCAAUAAAAUUACUGAAAUAAUGAAAACAAUCAAAUUUACAAAGGUAAAUACUUAUAUAAUUACAAAGUUAGAUUAGUGGCAAUUUGACAAAGAACGGAGGCUUCUUUCAAAAAAUGUUCCGGUCAGAAGCUUCUGAGCCCGUUUUCUCAGAACUUCAUUUUUGCAGUUACGGCUCUCUUCGCUAUCACGGCAACGCUGCUGACCGCACUGCCUUUGACGCAAUGCGUGAAGUAUUCAUGCAGUUUUGUAGGCGCUAAUAUGCGUUACAUGCCGACCGCCGCGCCUCUCUCCUUUCCAUCUCAAGUUCUCGUCAUCAUUGCUCUCUGCGCCGCGCCGUUCCAGGCCAAUUUCUGUGUUCGGUUUCUCUCUUAGUCUUAACUCGACUAAAUAAAGGUGCUGUCCAUUGUAUCAAAGAAAGACGACAAAAUUAGAGGUAUACUAUACUCUCAGGAAAUGAGAGAUUUUAUCACCUUUUCUCGUUUAUAAUUUUUUUCUGAAUCCGAUUUUUCUUUAUACCUACAUUUAAAAAAGAAAUUGCAAAAUUUGCCGCCAUGGGUCGCGGCAUAUGUGGCCGCCCCCUAAAUUCAGCCCUGCCGGAAAAUUUUUUUGAAAAAGCCUCCAUUCUUUCUCAAAUUAUCACGAAUCGUCCGAAAGACUCCUAGAAAUCGAUUGGAUGAUUGAAAAUCGACCAAUUGUAUUUCAAUUACAUAAAAAGGGUAUUAUUCGUUUCAUGAUAGGCUAUUGUUAGGCAAGACAGCCUUAAGUUCUAUCUUCUGCAUGCUUUCGUGGUUGCAUUUUGGACACACAAUCAGUGUUCGAAACUCACCUUUGAGUUUUAAGAGCCAUGUGGCGCAUCAAGCCCGAUUUUUAGGGGCCAUUGAAGAUUAUUUAGGGGCCGAAUUGACUUUUGGCCUAUAUAUUACGGCGCAUUUGGUGAAAAGUUAGACGCAAGAUGUUUUCGUAACAAAACUAGUAAGUAGCUGUAACUUGGGGAAGACAAAAGCACUGAGAAUGAUAUAGUGAAGAAUAGAAAAAGCAAGCUUUCACUUGUAGUGCUUAAAAUUCUGAGUUUUUUCAAUUCAAAAAGAUUUGUUUUUCUUUCUAUAUGUGACUUCCUGUGAAAAUCCAGAUUUUUAGGGGCCACGUUGGCGCAGAGCCUUCAUUUUUUGGGCGUCAUGGCCGAUUUUUUGGGCGCAUUUGGCGCCUGUGAGUUUCGAACACUGCACACAACAAACACAUUUUCAGGUUAUGAAUUGGCAGAGAAGGGCGGCGCUUCACUUGAAAGCACUGUUUUCAUUGGCUCUCUGAAGGAAUAUUGUCACUUACCGCUGUUUUGCCUGAAAUUAUGUCCAUUUUGCGCAGUUGCGGCAUUCUCAUAAGUCUCAUUUGAUACAAUUAAGAUUAAUUUUGCUGUUUUAGCGAUUUCAGUGAUUUCAUCUCAAAGAGAUCAGACGAAUUUUGAAGGAAAUUCGAUUUAUAAUAAACAUUAGGGAACGAGGGUGCCUUGCAUCGGGUAAAGGAGCCCCCGUAAAUGGGUUUAUAAGUCUUCUCUUGCAGAUAUGGAUGCUUCGCAAAAAAGGGAGGCUGUACAUUCCGCCGAUUCCUUAUUUUUGUAGUGUGAAUUCCGCCGAUUGCCCACCGUCCCGAACUGUAAAUUCCGCCGCUUCCCCAUUUUUGAAUAUGGUGAGUGAAAUAGAAAAAGGUGGAAUCGACUAAAAGUCUGAAUCCUUCGAAGUUUAUAUGUAUUAAUGAUAAUAUGAUACCAAUAUUCCUUUACGAUACACUCCUGCGUUAUAUUGCUAUUUUCAGUGAAGAGUCCAGACGAUGUCAAAGGCCGAAGAUCUUGUACCAAAACUUUGGUGAAUUUCGUGUUUCAGCAGAAUCCACUUAAAGAUCUGAGCACGAAGAUACCUACUACCACGAGCAUAGAUUGAACAAUUACUGUAGGACAUACGACAAAAUUAUUCAACUUGCUAAAAUACAUGUGUUUAAAUGGGAAAUGCCGCCAUAUAACGUCACUAGGCGGGGCAUUUUCUCACUUUCAAAUCUAAUUAUGCAGUAUUUCCCAUUUCAGAGAAAAAUUAUAAAAAAUACUGUGAACUCAGCGCUUUCAGCGCUCUUAGAUAAAACAAUAAACAUUUGCGUGAAAAUUCUUCAUCUUCAAUAGAUAAAAACAUAUUGUGUAUAUUUAUCUUCAUUAUUUACAGCCAUACUGCCGUGCUAAGGAAGAACGCCGCAUGAGUUUUCAGGCGUUGCCACAGUUCCUCCGAUACAAAACGAAUUUACUAUUUCUACUUACUUUUCUUCAAAUUUUUCAAGCGGUUUCGUUCGCAAUUUAAUCUAAAACCAUCUGAAAAUUGCAAGAAAAAAUAUGCACAUUCAAAAAUACAUGUGUUAUCCGAGAAAAGGCAAAUCUUGAAUGUUUAUACGGCGUUUUUCCUUCGCAAGGCAGCAUAGCAGAAUAACUCAUAAAAGAACCUAAAGAACUGCCGCUGAAAGGGGAGAUUCUCCGCAAAUUGACAGCAGUGCGUUCUUCCAAUUUUUCGGGCGAUUUUUUUCGCAAUCCAAUCUAAAACUUCUGAAUAUUUAAAGAAAAAAUAUGCACAACUUUCCUCAGAAAUACAUGUUUUAUCCGAGAAAAGGCAAAUCUUGAAUGUUCAUACGGCGUUUUUCCUUCGCAAGGCAGCAUAGCAGAAUAACUCAUAAAAGAACCUAAAGAACUGCCGCUGAAAGGGGAGAUUCUCCGCAAAUUGACAGCAGUGCGUUCUUCCAAUUUUUCGGGCG
RNAcentral lists this long non-coding RNA (4444 nucleotides) under Bemisia tabaci. RNAcentral's name for it is "lncRNA ENSSSA2NGG000229". The record is from RNAcentral. Lineage: Eukaryota; Metazoa; Arthropoda; Insecta; Hemiptera; Aleyrodidae.